RNAcentral lists this ribosomal RNA (201 nucleotides) under uncultured prokaryote. RNAcentral's name for it is "partial 16S ribosomal RNA". It matches the Rfam family "Bacterial small subunit ribosomal RNA", at positions 524 to 724 of the family's 1533-position model. The record is from RNAcentral.
UACAGAGGUGGCAAGCGUUGCUCGGAAUCACUGGGCUUAAAGGGCAUGUAGGCGGGCGAGUAAGCGCCUUGUGAAAUCCCCCGGCUCAACCGGGGAACCGCUUGGCGAACUGCUCGUCUCGAGGGAGACAGGGGCGACCGGAACUCUGGGUGGAGCGGUGAAAUGCGUAGAUAUCCAGGGGAACGCCGGUGGAGAAAUCGG